RNAcentral lists this ribosomal RNA (468 nucleotides) under uncultured bacterium. RNAcentral describes it as "partial 16S ribosomal RNA". It matches the Rfam family "Bacterial small subunit ribosomal RNA", at positions 28 to 507 of the family's 1533-position model. The record is from RNAcentral.
GACGAACGCUGGCGGCGUGCUUAACACAUGCAAGUCGAACGGAAAGGCCCUGCUUUUGUGGGGUGCUCGAGUGGCGAACGGGUGAGUAACACGUGAGUAACCUGCCCUUGACUUUGGGAUAACUUCAGGAAACUGGGGCUAAUACCGGCUAGGAGCUCCUGCUGCAUGGUGGGGGUUGGAAAGUUUCGGCGGUUGGGGAUGGACUCGCGGCUUAUCAGCUUGUUGGUGGGGUAGUGGCUUACCAAGGCUUUGACGGGUAGCCGGCCUGAGAGGGUGACCGGCCAAAUUGGGACUGAGGUACGGCCAAGAGUCCUACGGGAGCCAGAAGUGGAGAAUAUUGCACAAUGGGCGGAAUCCUAAUGCAGCAACGCCGCGUGCGGGAGAACGGCCUUCGGGUUGUAACCCGCUUUCGCAUGUGACGAAGCGUGAGUGACGGUAAUGGGUAAAGAAGCACCGGCUAACUACGUG